GACGAACGCUGGCGGCGUGCUUAACACAUGCAAGUCGAGCGGUAAGGCCCUUUCGGGGGUACACGAGCGGCGAACGGGUGAGUAACACGUGGGUGACCUGCCCUCAGCUCUGGGAUAAGCCUGGGAAACCGGGUCUAAGUACUGGAUAUGACUCCAUGACGCAUGUUGGUGGGGUGGAAAGCCUUGUGCGGCUGAGGAUGGGCCCGCGGCCUAUCAGCUUGUUGGUGGGGUGAUGGCCUACCAAGGCGACGACGGGUAGCCGGCCUGAGAGGGCGACCGGCCACACUGGGACUGAGA
RNAcentral lists this ribosomal RNA (297 nucleotides) under uncultured bacterium. Its description in RNAcentral is "partial 16S ribosomal RNA". It matches the Rfam family "Bacterial small subunit ribosomal RNA", at positions 28 to 324 of the family's 1533-position model. The record is from RNAcentral.